This 292-nucleotide ribosomal RNA is filed under the name uncultured bacterium. RNAcentral describes it as "partial 16S ribosomal RNA". It matches the Rfam family "Bacterial small subunit ribosomal RNA", at positions 505 to 796 of the family's 1533-position model. The record is from RNAcentral.
GUGCCAGCCGCCGCGGUAAUACGGAGGAUCCGAGCGUUAUCCGGAUUUAUUGGGUUUAAAGGGAGCGUAGGCGGUGGAUCAAGUCAGCUGUGAAAUGUAGAUGCUCAACGUCUGCACUGCAGUUGAAACUGGUUCACUUGAGUGCGUAAGAGGUAGGCGGAAUUUAUGGUGUAGCGGUGAAAUGCUUAGAUAUCAUAAAGAACUCCGAUUGCGAAGGCAGCUUACUGGGCCGCAACUGACGCUGAAGCUCGAAGGUGCGGGUAUCGAACAGGAUUAGAUACCCUGGUAGUCC